GGUUAAUAUUCCUGUACUUGGUGUUACUGCGAAGGGGGGACGGAGAAGGCUAUGUUAGCCGGGCGACGGUUGUCCCGGUUUAAGCAUGUAGGCUGGUUAUCCAGGCAAAUCCGGAUAAUCAAGGCUGAGGUGUGAUGACGAGGCACUACGGUGCUGAAGUAACAAAUGCCCUGCUUCCAGGAAAAGCCUCUAAGCAUCAGGUAACAUCAAAUCGUACCCCAAACCGACACAGGUGGUCAGGUAGAGAAUACCAAGGCGCUUGAGAGAACUCGGGUGAAGGAACUAGGCAAAAUGGUGCCGUAACUUCGGGAGAAGGCACGCUGGUGUGUAGGUGAAGUCCCUGCGGAUGGAGCUGAGACCAGUCGAAGAUACCAGCUGGCUGCAACUGUUUAUUAAAAACACAGCACUGUGCAAACACGAAAGUGGACGUAUACGGUGUGACGCCUGCCCGGUGCCGGAAGGUUAAUUGAUGGGGUUAUCCGUAAGGAGAAGCUCUUGAUCGAAGCCCCGGUAAACGGCGGCCGUAACUAUAACGGUCCUAAGGUAGCGAAAUUCCUUGUCGGGUAAGUUCCGACCUGCACGAAUGGCGUAAUGAUGGCCAGGCUGUCUCCACCCGAGACUCAGUGAAAUUGAACUCGCUGUGAAGAUGCAGUGUACCCGCGGCAAGACGGAAAGACCCCGUGAACCUUUACUAUAGCUUGACACUGAACAUUGAGCCUUGAUGUGUAGGAUAGGUGGGAGGCUUUGAAGCGUGGACGCCAGUCUGCGUGGAGCCAACCUUGAAAUACCACCCUUUAAUGUUUGAUGUUCUAACGUUGGCCCCUGACCGGGGUUGCGGACAGUGUCUGGUGGGUAGUUUGACUGGGGCGGUCUCCUCCCAAAGCGUAACGGAGGAGCACGAAGGUUAGCUAAUCCUGGUCGGACAUCAGGAGGUUAGUGCAAUGGCAUAAGCUAGCUUGACUGCGAGCGUGACGGCGCGAGCAGGUGCGAAAGCAGGUCAUAGUGAUCCGGUGGUUCUGAAUGGAAGGGCCAUCGCUCAACGGAUAAAAGGUACUCCGGGGAUAACAGGCUGAUACCGCCCAAGAGUUCAUAUCGACGGCGGUGUUUGGCACCUCGAUGUCGGCUCAUCACAUCCUGGGGCUGAAGUAGGUCCCAAGGGUAUGGCUGUUCGCCAUUUAAAGUGGUACGCGAGCUGGGUUUAGAACGUCGUGAGACAGUUCGGUCCCUAUCUGCCGUGGGCGCUGGAGAAUUGAGGGGGGCUGCUCCUAGUACGAGAGGACCGGAGUGGACGCAUCACUGGUGUUCGGGUUGUCAUGCCAAUGGCACUGCCCGGUAGCUAAAUGCGGAAGAGAUAAGUGCUGAAAGCAUCUAAGCACGAAACUUGCCCCGAGAUGAGUUCUCCCUGAGACUAUAAGUCUCCUGAAGGAACGUUAAAGACGAUGACGUUGAUAGGCCGGGUGUGUAAGCGCAGCGAUGCGUUGAGCUAACCGGUACUAAUGAACCGUGAGGCUUAACCUU
RNAcentral lists this ribosomal RNA (1518 nucleotides) under Klebsiella pneumoniae UCI 22. Its description in RNAcentral is "bacterial LSU rRNA". It matches the Rfam family "Bacterial large subunit ribosomal RNA", at positions 1428 to 2925 of the family's 2925-position model. Lineage: Bacteria; Pseudomonadati; Pseudomonadota; Gammaproteobacteria; Enterobacterales; Enterobacteriaceae. The record is from RNAcentral.